CCUGGUUGAUUCUGCCAGUAGUCAUAUGCUUGUCUUAAAGAUUAAGCCAUGCAUGUCUAAGUAUAAGCAAUUAUACAGCGAAACUGCGAAUGGCUCAUUAAAUCAGUUAUCGUUUAUUUGAUAGUACCUUACUACAUGGAUAACCGUGGUAAUUCUAGAGCUAAUACAUGCUAAAAACCCCGACUUCGGAAGGGGUGUAUUUAUUAGAUUAAAAACCAAUGCCCUUCGGGGCUCACUGGUGAUUCAUGAUAACUUCUCGAAUCGCACGGCCUUGCGCCGGCGAUGGUUCAUUCAAAUUUCUGCCCUAUCAACUUUCGACGGCUGGGUCUUGGCCAGCCGUGGUGACAACGGGUAACGGAGGGUUAGGGCUCGACCCCGGAGAAAACGCCUGAGAAACGGCGUUUACAUCCAAGGAAGGCAGCAGGCGCGCAAAUUACCCAAUGCCGACACGGCGAGGUAGUGACGAGAAAUACUGAUACAGGGCUCUUUUGGGUCUUGUAAUUGGAAUGAGUACAAUUUAAAUCUCUUAACGAGGAACAAUUGGAGGGCAAGUCUGGUGCCAGCAGCCGCGGUAAUUCCAGCUCCAAUAGCGUAUAUUAAAGUUGUUGCAGUUAAAAAGCUCGUAGUUGAACCUUGGGCCUGGCUGGCCGGUCCGCCUCACCGCGUGCACUGGUCCGGCCGGGCCUUUCCCUCUGGGGAACCGCAUGCCCUUCACUGGGCGUGUCGGGGAACCAGGACUUUUACUUUGAAAAAAUUAGAGUGUUCAAAGCAGGCCUAUGCUCGAAUACAUUAGCAUGGAAUAAUAGAAUAGGACGUGUGGUUCUAUUUUGUUGGUUUCUAGGACCGCCGUAAUGAUUAAUAGGGACAGUCGGGGGCAUCAGUAUUCAAUUGUCAGAGGUGAAAUUCUUGGAUUUAUUGAAGACUAACUACUGCGAAAGCAUUUGCCAAGGAUGUUUUCAUUAAUCAGGAACGAAAGUUAGGGGAUCGAAGAAGAUCAGAUACCGUCGUAGUCUUAACCAUAACUAUGCCGACUAGGGAUCGGAC
RNAcentral lists this ribosomal RNA (1044 nucleotides) under Pyricularia oryzae. RNAcentral describes it as "SSU rRNA". It matches the Rfam family "Eukaryotic small subunit ribosomal RNA", at positions 3 to 1058 of the family's 1831-position model. Lineage: Eukaryota; Fungi; Ascomycota; Sordariomycetes; Magnaporthales; Pyriculariaceae. The record is from RNAcentral.